AUGGGUGUUCAGGAUCCCCCAAGGGUUGCUGGUUUUGGUGCUGCUGGGGCUCAGGGUUUACCUGCAUGCCCAUGGCAGAGCUCCAUGGGGCUGGGUGAGACAGCAGCAGGAAGCUGGGGUGUGGCGGGUGCCACCCACUGCUCCUGGCCAAAGUUGAGCAGAGCAGCAGCCGGCAGCACCCAGGGGUCGGGCAGCACCUGGCUUCCACCGAUGGCCCCGGUGCUGCCGUGGGGUUUGGCUGCUGCUGCACCCAUUGGGUUCCUGCUAUUGCUGUUCCUCUGCGCCCUCUGCCCCAGGACGAGCGGCCGCUUCUCCACCCAGAGCACCGGGAACGCCGCAGGGAACUCCGGGCUGGUGACGCUGUCGGGACCGGACUGCAGCGAUGGGGGAGCAGCGCUGCUGGGAGGUUCAUCGCCUUGCAGCAGGACAGAUGUCACCAAUGAGGGGAACACGGGCAUCUCCGGGUCACCACAACCCAACACAUCCCCUACAUCCUCCCAGAGGACCCCAGACUUCCUUCGGCACCGGCAGCUCCCGCUGCUGCCCAGUGACACCACAGAGCCCACAGUGCAGGAUGCUCAGGGGCCCAUCUACGAAAGCAUCCGCUACAAAUCCCAGCAGCUCAGUGCUGGGCUGGAGAAGCCCUACAGGGACAGUGGGGACAGUGGGGACUCCAUGCAGGGCGUUGUUGUGCAAGAGGAGCCGUGCAGCACAGGCAGCCCCAUACCUGUGUAUGCUCGCAUCUGCAAAGUGCCCCGGGCACAGCAGCACACGGUGCCCAACAGCACUGAGUCUGAGGAAGAGGCAGCUCCAGCACUGCCAGAGAAACGCUUUGACAUCCUUUAG
Molecule: long non-coding RNA, 846 nt
Filed under: Coturnix japonica (Japanese quail)
Lineage: Eukaryota; Metazoa; Chordata; Aves; Galliformes; Phasianidae
Description: lncRNA (ENSCJPG00005013000.1)
Source: RNAcentral